RNAcentral lists this ribosomal RNA (336 nucleotides) under Triticum aestivum (bread wheat). Its description in RNAcentral is "partial small subunit ribosomal RNA". Lineage: Eukaryota; Viridiplantae; Streptophyta; Magnoliopsida; Poales; Poaceae. The record is from RNAcentral.
AUGUCAAAGGCAUGCCCUGGGUCUAGAUGGAAUGAGAAUAUUCUCCUAUGGCGGCAUAAAAUCGUAGAUGAUAUUCCCGUUUACAAUAGGGAACUAUCUGGUUAUCUUAUUACCCACUACAUGUCCACAUGGGAAGAUGGAAAACUACAUUUACCAUUUCUAAAGGAUGGAUACAAACUCAGGAAACAAAUUUUGGGACAUCUUCUAACAUUCGAGCACAAUGAAUCUGAAGAUGGCAUGCCUACUGGUGUCCUGGACUUCAUCAAUUUUAUCAGGAUGAAGAAGCUAUCAACUAUAUGUCCAACUGCUGCUCCUAAAUUGUCUCGACAAUCCUAG